Molecule: long non-coding RNA, 2318 nt
Organism: Diabrotica virgifera virgifera (western corn rootworm)
Lineage: Eukaryota; Metazoa; Arthropoda; Insecta; Coleoptera; Chrysomelidae
Exons: 2
Source: RefSeq, a predicted model, not a curated record
AGUCAUUUUUGUUGUGACAAACACACCUUUAGUUUAUGUCCUUCCUGUCAUGUCCUGUCACUUGUCAGUUGUUAUCGUGUCACAAAACAAAAUGAUAAAGAAAAUAAACUAAACAAGACAACAUUUAUAAGAAAAUAAGUAAGACAAGAAAAAUAAACUGAAAACAAAAUUGUAAGAUGGAGUUUGAGGUAUUUUUAUUCAUUGAGUUUAGGAGAAAAUAAGAAAAAGAAAGUGUGUAGUAGUACUGGUAUACCGGCAUAACUUAAAAACUAGCACCUGGACUGCAAUAAUUUUCAUAGAAUACCUUAUGCACAGUAUCGUGAGCAACUAUUGAUGAACCUGUGAAAGAAGUUUACUUAUGUGCUUUUGGUAUAACAAUUAUGUUCCUGUUAUUUCUUUCAGCAAAGAAAAAAUACCAUUGCAAUUGAAAGCUGUUGCGUAUACCUCAGAUCAGGAAAAUGUGAAUACAAAAAGAACAUGUUCAACUAAUUUGUCUUCCUCAGUCAGAAGACAUAAAAGUUUGCAAAUUAUUUGUUAAGUGGUUUUGUUUACUUAAAAUAUAAUCAGGAAAAUAUGGUAUUUUCAAAAACAUACAUCCUGUGUAAUAUUCUAGCUUUAAUCAUCAGUUAUAAAUGGUACUUACAUUAAACAACAGAUUAUAAUUAAAUAUUUUAAAUUCCUACUGUAAAUUAUUCUAUUAAAACAAAAAAGUAUAAAAGUAAAAAAAUACUGUAUUAAUCCUUUCACUGCUACAUUUUGCUGGAAGACAUGCCCAGAAGCUGAGUUCCCACUGGCAAUAAACGUGAGGAUAUGUAUGUGUGUGUAUGGGCAGUGAAAGGGUUAAAAUACAAGCUACUGAUUGUCUUUCCAUAUAUUAUGGCCUAGGAUUUUUUCGGAUGGUAUGAAUUUUAGGCAGCCGCUAUUCUUCUCAACUCCUCCUUUGUUGCAAAAAUAGCCUUAGCAGUUGAAGAGUUUAAUAAAUUCCGUUUGUCACUUUUUACGUUAAACAAAUCACUAAAUAUGCGUUCUACGCUGGCAUUAGAGAAUGGUAAAACAAAAAGUAGCUGUAGAGUCUUUUCUAAAUUAGGAAAUAAAAAAGCAUUAGCAUCAUUUUUUAAAUUAAAUAUUUGAGACCAAUAUUGCUCACAGUCAUCUGAAUUUAAAUUUAAUUUUUCAAAGUCUAAAAGAGCAUGUCUUCUCCAUUCAUUGUCUAACUCCUGAAUAUUAGCAUAUUCUUUUAAAAUAGGGAAUUGAUCAGUUACACAUUUUAAUGAUUUUAUUUCAAAGCUUUGUGCAAUUUUGGGAUCCAGUAUUGAAAUUAUUUUAUAGAUAGGGUCUUUAAAGGUGAAUCGAUUUUUAAUAUUACUAACUAAUUCUAUAUAUGUAAAAUGCUAAAAUACUUUUAAAAAAAAUUAUCAAAUUCUUGUUGGUUCAAAUCUGGCUUUUUUUUUAAUGUAGCUUGCAAGACUUUUUGUUGCAGUCAUUCCUAUAUAAAUAUCAUUUAGACUAACAAAAUUUGUAGGGUUUUCAUGGUUAAGUGUAAAUAUAUCGUUGGUUCUUUUUAUUACAGGCAUCUUUAUGAAAUUGGAACACAGUGUUCUCAACAGAGUUUCAGUUUGUGGCUGAACCUUACAAAGAAGUGGCUUUUCUGACUGAAAGAGUAAAUUGAAUUCUGUCAUUAGUCCUAAAGAAUAUGACAUUAGAUAUACUGGUGUGAACAAAUUUGACAUUGAACAUCAUUUCUGUUGUAAUUGACGGGUCUUCAAAUACACAUUCUGUCAAAUAUGCUCUAAGUGGCUCAUAUUGCUCAAGCACCCUAUCAACGCAUUCUUUAAUAGAUAACCAUCUUGUUGUGGCUGGAGAGAGUAUUUUGUGAAUUUUCACUUGAAAAAAAUUUUGGAGCUCUGUAAAUUUGUGUAUUCUCAAAGCACUCCUAUUAAAGUGAUUGCCUAUAUUUCGUAGCAGAUCUUCCACAUGCCUAGGUAAUUUUAACCAUUUUUUUGAUGUAGCUAAAUGUGUCAUAUGACAUGAGCAUCUAAUACAUACUAUAUGUGGAAAUUCUUCCUUUAACUUGGAAAAUACAGAGUUAAACUCUCCAACCAUAACAUUGGUGAUGUCCGAUGAAAACCCUAUAAAAUUUGUUAGUGGAAUAUUCUUUGAAGUUAAACAGUUCUUUAGAAUACCCUAUAAAUCAUUAGCUGUGGACCCAUGAGCCUCGACAAGAUCAAAAAAUGUGUUUUGGUUGAAUUAUUUUCAUAAAUUAUAGUAGUGAAUGCGCAUUGCUUUUUUAUUGAACUAUCAGUAGUUUCAUCCAUAAC